UAUUGUACUGCUCUGGAAGAUCCAAAAGAACCAGUUUUCCUGUAGCUUUGGUCCAGAGGACUAUUUCUUUGGUUGAGCAGCAAAUGGUAUCAUUGUAUUGCACAUACAGGCCAUGUAGUAAGGAAAAUAUGUAUCUUUAAUACUAUAAUCACACUCAGCCCUGUGAGAUAUGCUCACAUCAGGAGAAGCAAAAGGACAGAUCAAGGAAAAUACUUUUCUGACUUCUAUUUCCUGCUCACUUCCAGAUGCAUAAUCAAUUUGUGAAAUGAAGGCCAACAAUUAUAUAUGUGUCUAUGCUACCUGGGAGAAGAAAACAAGCUGGGACUAACUUUGAAGUCUGACCAGCUUGGCCAGAGGAUACCCUGGCCAUCUAAGACCAAAUCCAGGGAAGCAUGAACCUUGCUAAAGGUAUAGAGAUAAUAUGUGGACCCAGAUCAGAGAAGAGCACCCGAGCUUGAAGAUGGUAGCAACUAUAGAGAGUAUCAUCUAAGGCAUAAAUGGUAGGACACAGAAUUCCUUUGCUGAAAGAUAAUAAAAUUUUGACCAAUGCUA
Molecule: non-coding RNA, 552 nt
Organism: Microcebus murinus (gray mouse lemur)
Lineage: Eukaryota; Metazoa; Chordata; Mammalia; Primates; Cheirogaleidae
Source: RefSeq, a predicted model, not a curated record